RNAcentral lists this ribosomal RNA (253 nucleotides) under uncultured bacterium. RNAcentral describes it as "partial 16S ribosomal RNA". It matches the Rfam family "Bacterial small subunit ribosomal RNA", at positions 524 to 776 of the family's 1533-position model. The record is from RNAcentral.
UACGGAGGGUGCAAGCGUUAUCCGGAUUCACUGGGUUUAAAGGGUGUGUAGGCGGACUUUUAAGUCAGUGGUGAAAUCUCAAGGCUCAACCUUGAAACUGCCAUUGAUACUAUUAGUCUUGAAUCUUGUUGAGGUGGGCGAAAUAUGUCAUGUAGCGGUGAAAUGCUUAGAUAUGACAUAGAACACCAAUUGCGAAGGCAGCUCGCUAAACAAGUAUUGACGCUGAGGCGCGAAAGCGUGGGGAUCAAACAGG